RNAcentral lists this long non-coding RNA (200 nucleotides) under Capsicum annuum. Its description in RNAcentral is "long non-coding RNA (CANN_LNC015745)". The record is from RNAcentral. Lineage: Eukaryota; Viridiplantae; Streptophyta; Magnoliopsida; Solanales; Solanaceae.
CAACAUACUUACAUGGGAAAAAGCCGCUUUGAUUUCCAGCCUGAUCUUUUGUUACGAUAUUGACUUUGUGAUAUUGAUUCGUCUAGAGAUCUAUAUUAGGGCAUUCGGUAAAACCACUACCCUCCUUUUCUAUAGGUUGAUUUAGCAGUUGUGUGACAUGGCUAGAGUGCUACUAAUUCUUGGGGUAUAUCAGCGGAUCG